AGAGGAAUAGCUGGGUCAAAUGGUGGCUCCAUUCCCAGAUUUCCAAGGAAUCUCCAUACUGCUUUCCGUAUCGGCUGCACCAGUUUGCAAUCCCACCAGUAAU
This 103-nucleotide microRNA precursor is filed under the name Marmota monax (woodchuck). The record is from RNAcentral. Lineage: Eukaryota; Metazoa; Chordata; Mammalia; Rodentia; Sciuridae.